This 582-nucleotide ribosomal RNA is filed under the name uncultured bacterium. Its description in RNAcentral is "bacterial SSU rRNA". It matches the Rfam family "Bacterial small subunit ribosomal RNA", at positions 332 to 922 of the family's 1533-position model. The record is from RNAcentral.
GCCCUUCCUACGGGAGGCAGCAGUGGGGAAUAUUGCACAAUGGGGGAAACCCUGAUGCAGCGACGCAGCGUGCGGGAUGACGGCCUUCGGGUUGUAAACCGCUUUCAGCAGGGAAGAAGCCGUGAGGUGACGGUACCUGCAGAAGAAGUACCGGCUAACUAUGUGCCAGCAGCCGCGGUAAUACGUAGGGUACGAGCGUUGUCCGGAAUUAUUGGGCGUAAAGAGCUCGUAGGUGGUUGGUCACGUCUGCUGUGGAAACGCAACGCUUAACGUUGCGCGGGCAGUGGGUACGGGCUGACUAGAGUGCAGUAGGGGAGUCUGGAAUUCCUGGUGUAGCGGUGAAAUGCGCAGAUAUCAGGAGGAACACCGGUGGCGAAGGCGGGACUCUGGGCUGUAACUGACACUGAGGAGCGAAAGCAUGGGGAGCGAACAGGAUUAGAUACCCUGGUAGUCCAUGCCGUAAACGUUGGGCACUAGGUGUGGGGGGCAUUCCACGUUCUCCGCGCCGUAGCUAACGCAUUAAGUGCCCCGCCUGGGGAGUACGGUCGCAAGGCUAAAACUCAAAGGAAUUGACGGAAGGGC